RNAcentral lists this ribosomal RNA (253 nucleotides) under uncultured bacterium. RNAcentral describes it as "partial 16S ribosomal RNA". It matches the Rfam family "Bacterial small subunit ribosomal RNA", at positions 524 to 777 of the family's 1533-position model. The record is from RNAcentral.
UACGGAGGGUGCAAGCGUAUCCGGAUUCACUGGGUUUAAAGGGUGCGUAGGCGGACAGGUAAGUCAGUGGUGAAAUCUCCGAGCUUAACUCGGAAACUGCCUUUGAUACUCUCUGUCUUGAAUAUGGUGGAGGUAAGCGGAAUAUGUCAUGUAGCGGUGAAAUGCUUAGAGAUGACAUAGAACACCUAUUGCGAAGGCAGCUUACUACGCCUAUAUUGACGCUGAGGCACGAAAGCGUGGGGAUCAAACAGGA